Ananas comosus (pineapple) is the source of this 926-nucleotide long non-coding RNA. RefSeq lists it as uncharacterized. The transcript is spliced from 3 exons. NCBI's taxonomy places the organism in Eukaryota, Viridiplantae, Streptophyta, Magnoliopsida, Poales, Bromeliaceae. The record is from RefSeq and is a predicted model, not a curated record.
CCCUCGCUUGGCCUCCAAUCCCUCGGCCCUCGCUAUCGGGCCGCCCCUUCCUCUUUCCACUCGCUUCUCUCCCACCUCCCACCUCCCACCUCCCACCUCAUCAUGGCAGCAUGCUCAUGCUUCUCAUCUUCCAAUGGUGGAAGUAUAAAGGGACUGAAUUGUAAAUUGCUGGACUGCAAUGUAAUUUUAGCCUUUUGAGGGGUUAAGUUGCAGAUUUUUGAGCUUAUCUCAACCCCAGCCACUCCCUGCAGCUGCCCACGUAUCCAGCCUCUCUCCCUCUCCUUUCUUUUCAUUUCUUUCUCCUUCUCCUUCUCUCUAACCCUAGGUGAAGCUUAAUAGAGAAGGUUGAUUUGGAGUUGGAUCUUUUUGGUGUGUUGAGCUGAAAAGAGAAGACUUGAGCUGAAAUAGAACCGGGGGGAGCUUCGAAUUUAGGUAAGAACUUGUAGUGGCUGAUAGGGAAUUUGGUGGAGUAGAUUUCAGAAUUGGGGCUUCUUGCUGUUGGAGCUGAAAGGAGGGCUUUUGGUGCAGAAAAUCUGCUAGUGACGCAUUCAGCUUGAAGAUUGGAAAGCUAGCUUGGAAUUGAUUGCGUGGAAACCUAAUAGAGGGUGAACGGACGCGUUGGAAAGCUCUGAUUGGUGUUCCGACGAGCCGACGACACGCUAAUGAGGAAAAUCUCAUUUUAGCUUCGUUUGUCGCGAGCGAGGAUCGCAUGGUUCAUAAAUCGCGGGAAGUGGAUUUCUCGCAUUCCGGCAUCAUUUAAAGGUUCUAGCUCGUGCGGGGUGAUCGAGAAUCAUGGUAUGGGCAGCAUUCCAUAAAUAGUGGACAUCCAUUGAGUAUAGUUGUACCUUAUUUAUUUCAUCUGUUUAUAGUUGAUGAAAGCAAAUAUAAAUUAUUCAUUUCAGAGAUGAUAAUAUAUAUAUUGGAAG